This 460-nucleotide ribosomal RNA is filed under the name uncultured bacterium. RNAcentral's name for it is "partial 16S ribosomal RNA". It matches the Rfam family "Bacterial small subunit ribosomal RNA", at positions 338 to 795 of the family's 1533-position model. The record is from RNAcentral.
CCUACGGGAGGCAGCAGUGCGGAAUAUUGGUCAAUGGACGCAAGUCUGAACCAGCCAAGUCGCGUGAGGGAUGAAGGUUCUCUGGAUCGUAAACCUCUUUUAUAAGGGAAUAAAGUGUGGGACGUGUCCUAUUUUGUAUGUACCUUGUGAAUAAGGAUCGGCUAACUCCGUGCCAGCAGCCGCGGUAAUACGGAGGAUCCGAGCGUUAUCCGGAUUUAUUUGGUUUAAAGGGUGCGUAGGCGGCCUUUUAAGUCAGCGGUGAAAGUCUGUGGCUCAACCAUAGAAUUGCCGUUGAAACUGGGGGGCUUGAGUAUGUUUGAGGCAGGCGGAAUGCGUGGUGUAGCGGUGAAAUGCUUAGAUAUAACGCAGAACCCCGAUUGCGAAGGCAGCCUGCCAAGCCAUGACUGACGCUGAUGCACGAAAGCGUGGGGAUCAAACAGGAUUAGAUACCCGUGUAGUC